Molecule: transfer RNA, 69 nt
Filed under: Puerulus angulatus
Lineage: Eukaryota; Metazoa; Arthropoda; Malacostraca; Decapoda; Palinuridae
Description: tRNA-Gln
Source: RNAcentral
UACAUACUGGUGUAGAGUGCACGGAAAUUUUUGAUAUUUCUGGGAUUGGUGUAAAUCCAUUGUGUGUAA